This 65-nucleotide transfer RNA is filed under the name Phyllotreta variipennis. Its description in RNAcentral is "tRNA-Ser". The record is from RNAcentral. Lineage: Eukaryota; Metazoa; Arthropoda; Insecta; Coleoptera; Chrysomelidae.
AGUUAAUGAACUUGUAUAAGUGUAUAUUUUGAAAAUAUAAUAAAGGGUAAAUCCCCUAUUAACUU